GAUGAAGAACGUUGCGAAAUGCGAUACGUAAUGUGAAUUGCAGAAUUCAGUGAAUCAUCGAAUCUUUGAACGCACAUUGCGCCCGCCAGCACUCUGGCGGGCAUGCCUGUUCGAGCGUCAUUUCAACCAUCAAGCCCCAGGCUUGCGUUGGAGCCCUGCGGCUGCCGCAGCCUCCUAAAAGCAGUGGCGGGCUCGCUAUCACACCGAGUGCAGUAGAUUACUCUUCGCUCAGGGCGUGCAGCGGGUUCCGGCCGUGAAACCCCCUACUUUUAAAGGUUGACCUCGGAUCAGGUAGGAAUACCCGCUGAACUUAAGCAUAUCAAUAAGCGGAGGA
Molecule: unclassified non-coding RNA, 334 nt
Filed under: soil metagenome
Description: partial contains 5.8S ribosomal RNA, internal transcribed spacer 2, and large subunit ribosomal RNA
Rfam family: 5.8S ribosomal RNA (bases 1-120)
Source: RNAcentral